UAGACACUUGUCCCAGGGGGU
This 21-nucleotide non-coding RNA is filed under the name Rattus norvegicus (Norway rat). The record is from RNAcentral. Lineage: Eukaryota; Metazoa; Chordata; Mammalia; Rodentia; Muridae.